This 425-nucleotide ribosomal RNA is filed under the name uncultured prokaryote. RNAcentral describes it as "bacterial SSU rRNA". It matches the Rfam family "Bacterial small subunit ribosomal RNA", at positions 355 to 774 of the family's 1533-position model. The record is from RNAcentral.
UGGGGAAUCAUGGUCAAUGGGCGAAAGCCUGAACCUGCGACGCCGCGUGAGUGAUGAAGGUCGUAAGAUCGUAAAACUCUUUUCAGGGAUCUUAAAGCCUGUCUGUCAACAACAGGCAGGUCUGACUCUCCCUGGAAGAAGCCCCAGCCAACUACGUGCCAGCAGCUGCGGUAAUACGUAGGGGGCGAGCGUUAUUCGGAAUUACUGGGUGUAAAGGGUAUGUAGGCGGCCCUUCAAGUCGCGUGUCAAAGUCCAGUGCUCAACGCAGGGUGGGCACGCGAUACUGACGGGCUUGAGGGCUGGAGAGGUGAGCGGAAUUCCCGGUGUAGUGGUAAAAUACGUAGAGAUCGGGAGGAACACCAGCGGCGCAGGCGGCUCACUAGACAGUUUCUGACGCUAAGAUACGAAAGCGUGGGUAGCAAACA